GUUAGGAAUAUUGGACAAUGGGCGCAAGCCUGAUCCAGCCAUGCCGCGUGAGUGAUGAAGGCCUUCGGGUUGUAAAGUUCUUUAGCCGAUGAUUAUAAUGACUGUAGUCGGAAAAUAAGCCCCGGCUAACUUCGUGCCAGCAGCCGCGGUAAUACGAAGGGGGCGAGCGUUAUUCGGAAUCACUGGGCGUAAAGCGUGCGUAGGCGGCUUUGCAAGUUGGGAGUGAAAGCCCAGGGCUCAACCCUGGAAUUGCUCUCAAAACUGCAAGGCUCGAAUUCGGGAGAGGAUAGCGGAAUUGUCAGUGUAGCAGUGAAAUGCGUAGAUAUUGACAGGAACACCAGUGGCGUAAGCGGCUAUCUGGACCGAUAUUGACGCUGAGGCACGAAAGCGUGGGGAUCAAACAGGAUUAGAAACCCCUGUAGUCC
This 425-nucleotide ribosomal RNA is filed under the name uncultured bacterium. Its description in RNAcentral is "partial 16S ribosomal RNA". It matches the Rfam family "Bacterial small subunit ribosomal RNA", at positions 354 to 796 of the family's 1533-position model. The record is from RNAcentral.